RNAcentral lists this ribosomal RNA (465 nucleotides) under uncultured bacterium. Its description in RNAcentral is "partial 16S ribosomal RNA". It matches the Rfam family "Bacterial small subunit ribosomal RNA", at positions 28 to 507 of the family's 1533-position model. The record is from RNAcentral.
GACGAACGCUGGCGGCGUGCUUAACACAUGCAAGUCGAACGGAAAGGCCCCUUUGGGGGUACUCGAGUGGCGAACGGGUGCGUAACACGUGAGUAACCUGCCCUUGACUUCGGGAUAACUUCAGGAAACUGGGGCUAAUACCGGAUAGGAAUCCUUGCUGCAUGGUGGGGGUUGGAAAGCUUCGGCGGUUUUGGAUGGACUCGCGGCUUAUCAGCUUGUUGGUGGGGUAGUGGCUUACCAAGGCUUUGACGGGUAGCCGGCCUGAGAGGGCGACCGGCCACAUUGGGACUGAGAUACGGCCCAGACUCCUACGGGAGGCAGCAGUGGGGAAUAUUGCACAAUGGGCGGAAGCCUGAUGCAGCAACGCCGCGUGCGGGAUGACGGCCUUCGGGUUGGAAACCGCUUUCAGCAGGGGCGAAGCUUGUGGUGACGGUACCUGCAGAAGAAGCACCGGCUAACUACGUG